Molecule: ribosomal RNA, 497 nt
Filed under: uncultured bacterium
Lineage: Bacteria
Description: partial 16S ribosomal RNA
Rfam family: Bacterial small subunit ribosomal RNA
Source: RNAcentral
GAUGAACGCUGGCGGCGUGCCUAAUACAUGCAAGUCGAGCGAACAGACGAGGAGCUUGCCCCUCUGACGUUAGCGGCGGACGGGUGAGUAACACGUGGAUAACCUACCUAUAAGACUGGGAUAACUUCGGGAAACCGGAGCUAAUACCGGAUAAUAUAUUGAACCGCAUGGUUCAAUAGUGAAAGACGGUUUUGCUGUCACCUAUAGAUGGAUCCGCGCCGCAUUAGCUAGUUGGUAAGGUAACGGCUUACCAAGGCAACGAUGCGUAGCCGACCUGAGAGGGUGAUCGGCCACACUGGAACUGAGACACGGUCCAGACUCCUACGGGAGGCAGCAGUAGGGAAUCUUCCGCAAUGGGCGAAAGCCUGACGGAGCAACGCCGCGUGAGUGAUGAAGGUCUUCGGAUCGUAAAACUCUGUUAUUAGGGAAGAACAAAUGUGUAAGUAACUAUGCACGUCUUGACGGUACCUAAUCAGAAAGACACGGCUAACUACGUG